GAUAAUUGGAAUUGAAACUUUGUCUUAUUAAAAAAAAUUGUACAAGCAAUGUAUUUAUAACUAUCAAAACAAAAUGAACUAAAAACAUUCAUAACAGAAAUAUCUAGCUUUAGAUUUUGGAUAGUUAGAGCUAAGAACCUAACUCUUUUAUUUAGUUUAUUUCAACACUUCUAACUCAUAAUCAUUUUCUUAGUUCUUCAAAUCUGUCUAACCUAAGUUGGUAUGGUAAAUAUAUCAGCCAUUUGAGAUUGGUGUUGCAAUGCUGCACUUCUAACUUGGUCUCUAUGUGUUUACCCCUCCCAUGUGAGAUUGAAUUCUUUGCAAGAUUGAUGACAAAUUGGUUGUCCACGCAAAGUUGCACGGUCUUCACAUGUUCUAGCUUUAAUUCAUCAACCACAGAUUAAAGCCAAACAAAUUGACAAGCUGCCUCUCCUGCAGAUAUAUACUUUGCCUCACAAGAUGAGAGAGCAACCACAAUUUGCUUCUUAGAACACUAAGAGAUUGGUGCUUUCAAAUAUUAGAAAAAAAUAUCCAUAUGUGCUCUUCCUUCCCACGUUAUCAUUGUGUUGGAAAUUAAUUUGAUAAUUGGAAUUGAAACUGAAUUCUCUUAUUAGAAGAAAUUGUAUUGAUACAAUACAAACAAUACUAUGUAUAACCGUCAAAACACAAUGAAUUAAAAACAUUAUGAUAAACAGAAAUAUCUAGUUUUGGAGUUAACAACCUAACUUUUUUAUUUAGCUUAUUCCAACACAACACGUGAGAAUUAUAAUUGUAUUCUGAUCAAUACAAUUUUAAAACUAUUUCAUUUCAAUAAUAUUUUUUCCGUUAGAAUCUAAUUCACGUUUGUCAACGUAUUAGCAGUCACCAUAUAUCACAUCUACUUUGUUUCACAAUGACAUGUUUAUUCACUUUGGGUGAGGUGUAUACUUUGUGUUGUAUAUUGUUAAACUGAAGCCAUCCUCACGCAUUACUGAAAUUGUUGCAGAUUAUGUGAUACCUGCAGGAUGGAAGGUUCUUCCUGUCUUGUCUGCGGGACAUUUGGAUCCCACCCUUUUUGAAAAUCCUUUGGAGUUCGAUCCCUUUCGGUGGAAUGUAGGUUCUUGCAUAAAUCAUGCUAAAUAAUGUCUUUGAAAUUCAUAAGGCUAACUCUUGUUUAAUAUAUAGCUUUAUUCUUGCAUUGCAUAUAUAAAUGUGAAUGAACACACCACACGAAUACGCAACAACUUUUAUUUGUAACCCUAGCAGAUAAUUAGUUUUUGUCUGUAUUUGCAGGACAAUUCGAUAAGAAAGAAAGUGGCACCAUUUGGUGGGGGUCCACGACUCUGUCCAGGGGCUGAUCUAGCAAAAGUGGAGACAGCAUUCUUCCUUCAUCAUUUUGUCCUCAAUUAUAGGUACUUUACUCAUUGCACUACCCACUUACAUAUUUUAACAUGCAUGCACAGAUUAUGGUAAGCACUAGCAAGAUCGGCUAUAUAUCCAUUUAUUAAUUAACGCCUGGUUCCCCCAUUUAUUAAUCUGUAACGCUUUCUGUCCAGGGGCUUAAUAUGUCUAGUAUAAAGCUACCUACCUGUACUGUAGAAAUCAUUUUGAUGACUUUUUUUUCUCAUGUUAUUAUUUCCCUUUGAUCUCCUCCACCUACUACAAAUUUCUUUUCUUUGGUGUUUAGGCAUUUUGACACUUAUGGAAGGGUGCAUAAUUGAAAUAAUAUCAAUCACACACUAUUUUUUCUUAUCGACAAAGAAUAAUUGAAUUAAUAGGCACAUUUCAGGAUUCUCUCUACCCUUAUACAUAAAAGAUGACCUACUACCUAGCUAACAUAAAAAAGAAAGAGUUUAGGCAAAGAGCAUGAUAAGCAACAAGCUCUUCAUAACAAAAUAUGAGCCCUUGCACUUAUAGAGCCCGCCCAACAGUUUUCCGAAAACUAACCAAAACACCCCAGAGCUGGAUGGGAUGCUUCUGGUCUGCCUAUAUGAAUCAGCUAUGCCAAAAAACACUUAAAGUGAACUAAAAAUCAAGAAUUGAAAGAACAAAUUAAGUUCUAUCUAAAAUAAGGAGCAAGAUAUAUAUUCAUGGCAAUAGCUCUGUCCUUUGCACCAUGUACUCCAACACAACCUCUCUUAUAGGUUCCAACGCUUGCUGCAUAAUUAUCUAGCACAUAUAACACAUUAAGCACCCCCUCGAUUGUAUUCCAUGCUCCCUGCAAUUCAAUUAUCACUUCUUCAUCUCCCUAUCUUCCAACAUCCUCUAAACCUCCUUACACAGCCCGCAUACUCCCUAUGGAUGGAUCCUAAAAAACAGACCAGCAGUUGAAGUUGGAAUUCUGCACUGGAUGGGACUGCAUAAAACCAGGAUAAAAACUGCAGCUUCUUAAAAAAUCAUUCUUCCUUCAUCUACCAUCCUCCAAUGCAUUCUCACUAAUGGUUUGCAGCGGCUACUGCAUAAUUCUGCAGCACCUUGAUACUUCUCCAAAAUAUUCAUAGCAGACCCUCAAACACCCCAAAAACUAUGCAUCCCUGCUGUAAACGAAUGGGCUAUAGCAUGUCAUAGCUGCAUUGCACAGUAGAACUGUUGUGCCACACUGCAUAAUAGAGAACCUUGACAGCAACUCAAACCUAUGCUUUGAUACCUCAUUCUUCCUUCAUCUUCCAUUUCCUGCUACAUUCCUCUCCUUCACAUAUUCCUGUAAAAACUCCUCUACUGUUUGUUUAUAGUGGUCCAGUUUGACAGCAGCCGUGCAUCAGAACCAGAACUCUCUGUGUUGUUCUGGAUUCAGUACUAACCAAGCUGCCACUUUCUUCUUCGUAUGCCCUAAAAGGCCAAUGAGCCUAGCCAAAGAUGAAACAGGGCAGCUGCUGAAGCAUCAACUAGCCCCGGUUUGCUUUGCAGGCAGUCACACACUCCUUCAUGCCCCUAAGCCAUAAAGCUCUGCACUAGCCAUAAAGCUCUGCUCUAGGCAUAAAAACUGCUCCACUAAAGGCACAUCAAUUGCUGCAUACACCUUGUUCUCAACCCUGCUACAGUCUGCUUUGUUUUAUGCAUCAAGCCAACUUCCUCAGUGCUUUAAUCACUGAUAUACAUCCUCCUUGCCUCUGAUUACCCAAGGCACCUACGGCACACACCAACAACUAAACUGCUGCUUAAUUAUGCAGAGCUGAGAAGAGUUAUGCAACUCCUAUAACAUGUAGAAAAAUAGAACAUAGAAGAAACACCUAUAAAAGACCAUGGGCUAACUGAGUAAAACACUCUGCCUGCCACUAAGAGGUCCUUGGACUGUAUCUUCACACACCAUUUCUGCGUUCCCACACUAAGAUGGCUCUACCUUUCCCCCCCUGCACAUCGUUAUAGUGACCAGCAUACCAUCCAGAGGGUUGCCCUUCCUUAUUACCUGAAACUCUUAAAGCAAAGGUCAGGAUUCAAUUGCCAAUUCGAAAAAGACUAAUUGAAAGAACACACCCUAUAUUUCAUCCAAAGCCACACUCUAAGUUGUGUAAAAUGGAAAAUUUCUUCCGCAUCCGAUACCCCUUCUUUAACUAAAUUUCUUUGUUCCCAAAUGCCCCUCACCACUGCCACUCACAUUCCUUUCCAUAGCAGAUUUUUCUUGAUUUUUUCUUGAUGUUCAUAUGUACCAAGUGAAAGUUUUCAAAAUGAGACAACAAAUCCAUUUGUUGAAUAGACAUAAUACCUAUCCAUCUAAGGCAUAAUGACCAUACCCAUUGUGCAAUGACGCAUUACAAGAAAAGGUGUUGAGAUGUCUCUUUCGUAGCUUGGCACAACCCACAAACAGGUGAUUCCACUAACAUUCCUCUUCUUAAUAAGUUGUUUGUGUUGCCAUUUUGUCCAAUAGAAUCCUCCAAGCAGUAGUCAUUGCAUUGGGACAAGCUUUAACCACAACUGUUUGAAAAUGCCAUAAGGUUGGGUAGUGACAUGAUUAGCCAAGCACUCAUAAGUCGAUUUCACUGAGAUCCCCCUGUGGUAUCCCCUCCCCACACUUGAAGGUCUGAAGCUUCCCUAUUCAGAAUACCCGUAGAGAUAUGCCAUCAUUUCUUCUUCUUGUAAAGAUUCUCAUUCAAACCUGACCCUUAUCCACCUUAACUUCCAACACCACACAGAUUCUUCCCAGACACCUACCUCACCCACCAUCAGUCCCUGAUCCAAUGACAGAGAAAACAACCUAGGAUAUAAGGUAUUGAGAUUAUAUCUACCUAACCAAUUGUCCUCCCAUAAUUUAGUUUUGUCCCUUGAUCCAACAUACUUUUGAUAACUCUUACCACCAAGACUAGAGUUUCAUCUGGCUUUGCCUUCGACCUGAUUCCAACCCAUAUUUUGAUACUAAAAUUUCUUUCCACUUCCCUUGUUCACUAACCGCCAUUUCCAUUUGGAAAAAAAGGCAUUGUUAAAAAUUCUUAUACCUUUAAUCCCUAGCCCACCUUCCUCCAAGGGUUUGCAAACAUUCUCCCAUCUUAUCCAAGAUAUAUAUUUUUUGUCUCUUCCUCACCCCCACAGGAAUUUUUGAAUACUAACAAUUCUCUUGUACACUGAUGUCGGGACCGGACCUUAUAGAAAGACAUAUAAAAGAGAGGUAAGGCAAUUAUUACCGAUUUAAAUAAGCAUAUUCUUCCUGCUAGCAACAAAAACCUCCCUCUCCAAGCACUUAGCCUGUCACUUAUCUUAUUUAGAAUUGGCUCCCAAAACUGCUUCUUCCUUUGAUUUCCUCCAACUUCUAACCCCAGGUAUUUAAAUGGUACCCCAUUAGAGUGCAAUUUAAGGAUUUUGCAUAAAGUUCAAGGGCAUUACCAAUGUUAUCAAUAUCGGAUAACGGAUCAUAUCGGAGACCCAAAAUUUCCUUUAUAGAGUUAUAACGGAACCCAUAUCGGGUUAUGGCGGAAGCAUGGCGGUCAAAAGAAAUAUAAUAUAUAUAUAUAUAUAUAAAUAACUUCAAAAAAUGCAAAAAUAAUGAAAGAGACAAUCAUAACUAAAGAUUAAAUUAUGUCUAAGAAUGUGUAGUGGCUGUGGUUUAGGUUUAGGGUAAUAUGUCUCUUAAUUGGGCCAAAAUAGGCCCAAAAGCCACACAUCAGUUUUUAAAAUUUUAAGGUUGAAAAACCCACUAAUAAGGUGUUUAAAUUAGGGUUGCAGCCCCACCACACACCACAUGUCAGUUUUAAAUAUUUAGUAUUUUUAAUUUAAAUUUUAAAUUUUUUAUUAUUUUAAAUCUGAAAUGGGCCAAAGGCCCAAAUCUUUUUAUUUUAGAAAUUAGGGUUAGGGUUUUGCACCCUUCUUCUUCAUCAGCCGCCUUCUUCAUCAACUCCGAGCCUUCUUCUUCAUCAGCCGCCGCAGCAGCCCUUCUUCUUCAUCAGCCGCCGCAGCAGCCCUUCUUCUUCAUCUACUCCUUCAAGCUCCGCUGCCUACCGAUAUUUUGGAUAUCUCCGAUAUCCGUUACCGCUCCGCCAUGCCAAUAGCGGCCGCCAUGGGCCGCCAUGCGAAAUCCGAUUCGCCACCGCCUUGUUGUGGCGGUGGUCUGGAAUUCCGCUACCGAAAUCCGCCAUGGCGAUGCCAUGGCCGAUAUGUGAUAACACUGGGCAUUACUUUCAACAUUUAUACCAGUCGGCUUUAAUUUGUAGAAGUUGAUUUUCAGCCCAAAAGCAAGUUCAUAGAACCUUAGGAUUGCUUUUAUAUACAUAACUUUAUUGUAGGUGUCUUCACACAUAAAUAAAGUGUCAUCAAUGAAUUGUAAUACAAAAGCUUCAACCUCUUUCUUCCCUACCUUUACACCUUUAAGCAGGUUCGCCUUGAUUGCUUCUCUUACUAGCCCAGCCAAGCCUUCAGCUACAAUUAAGAAAAGAAACGGGGCUAAGGGGUCUCCUUGCCUCAACCCUCUUGAUGGAUGAAAUUCCGUCGUGGAACUUCUAUUAACCAAAACAGAUACCAAUGCAGACUCCAAGCAACCUCUGAUCCACAUAAUCCAUUUACUGUGAAAGCCCAACCUGUGUAACAUAUCAAAUAAGAAAUCCCACCUUACCGAAUCGUAGGCCUUUUCGUAGUCCACCUUCAAGCACAAGUCUCUCCUCCUGUAUCUCCUUAACUCCUCAACAACCUCAUUGGCCACCAAGACACUGUCCAACAGUCCUCUAUCCUUCAAGAAAGACGAUUGGCUAUCAUCAAUAACCACAGGCAAAACCCUCUUAAUACGACAUGAUAAGGCCUUGGUUAUGAUUUUAUACAUAGCAUCCACAAGGGAGAUAGUUCUAUACUGAUCGAGUUUAUGGGUACUAAAACAAAUAGCCAACUACCAGCAAAAUCUAUAUGCCACACAUCUAAAUACCUAAAUGGUUUAACUCCCUAAUCAAAAGUGAAUUGUUUAAGUAUUAUAGCACAAUGACCAGAAAUAGUUCUAUCCAACGCAUUGUUUAUUUUUUGGCCAAAGAUCUAACCAUUCUUAUGAAACUAAGAUUCUAUGCAGCCUACUCUUUGUACCAUUGAUUCUAUAACAUGUGUAUUUUCUCUCAAUCAUUGGAAAUUUUAGAAUAUUCAUAUUCUCAUUGAAUAUAUAUUAAACUACCUUAUCUCCUUUAUUCCACUACCUAUUUGAGAUAAUGUUAUCCUUUCUUCUAGUUUUCUAACUGCAUUGAAGUCACCUAACAUGCACCACACCAUGUUCUCAUCAUCCAUCCUAUUCUCCUAUUGCAUAGUAACUCUUCCCAUAUUGAUUUCUUUUCAUUACAUGACUAGGAUGAAUAUACGUUCACAAUAUAGUCGUUAUUUUUUAUCACCCCAUUCCCCUUUAAACAAUAUAUAUCAUUUUCUACAUGUUGAAUUCAUCGCUGAAAAUUUAUUUUAUUCCAGAUACUCAAUACACCUCCAACUCCACUUUGUGUACCCAUUCUAUAUUACUUGGCACUGAUCAUAUGUUAUUGACACCAUUUUUGUCUCUUGUAUGCAUACCAUAUUUAUGUCCUUCUUUGUAAUUAUUUCUCUUAACUAUUUGUCUUUUGAUGACCCUUCUAACCCUCUAAUGUUAAAUCUUAUGAUCUUCAUUAAUCUAUAUGUUUAUUCCCUCCCUUGAUUAUGUGCUUGUGGCUAUUAUCUCUUUUUCCCAUUUCAUUUAUUCUCAUUAUUAUGUUUUGUUCCUCCCCCGAGUAGGUGAAUCCAAUUUCUUUCCAUAUGUUCCACAAUCUAAGUGUUUUUAUUGAGUUAUUUCUAAUACAGAAUAGAAUAGUCUAUUAUAAUUAUUGAUAUAGAAUAGUCUAUUAUAAUUAUUGAUAUCUAUAUCAGACAAUGAAUUACUCAUUGAGUGGAUGACUAACCUCAAUUGGCUUCUUUGUUUAGGUUUUAUGCCUAAGCUUUUCAGUGUGGCAUCUCACUUCAGCGAAUAACUUGUGUCACCAACUAUUAAAUUUUUGCGUAGAAGUAGAAUUUUCAUAUCAAUCUUCGUUGCUCCUCUAUUUAUUCCCCUUCUUGAAUGUGACUAUCAUUCGUUUUCACGCUUGUACUUCCAUUCAUGCCCCCUAGUGUAGUGGUUGUUGCAUUUUCCUCGAGUAUGCCUUCUUCCUCUGAUUGUGGUCACUCUACCCCCAUUAUUUCGUCUCUUCCUUGAGGAUACUUGUAUGGGCAUGUGGAUUAUAAUCCAACAAUUUGUAUUGGGCCAGACCCAUUUGAUCUCUACUCACAUGUUUGUAUUGGGCCUGUUUGUUAACCUGUGUGUUGGGUGCAGGGACUAAAAAAAACCCUAAUUUUCAUUUCAUUAAGGUUAGUUUACUCUGUUGGUGCCAAUCAUAUUUGAACAAUUGGGUGCCAAUCAUAUUUGAUUGGGUGCAGAGAGAAUCUGCCUUCUUCCCGUUGUGAGUCUCUGGCGAAGGAUAUUUUCCCUUGAUCCUCGCUUACACUUGUGAUCGUACAUUCUCUAAAUAGUAAUAACAUACCUAGUUAUAAUAAUAUAAUAAUAUUUUAACUGUGUAUGGUGUUAAAGGAUCACCACCCUUUUCCAUUCUUGUGUUUCCCUGACCCCCUUCACUGUACUUGUCUGUGACAUUCUAAAACAUUUUCACUCUUAUUAUGUUAUUGCUGCACUCAGUUUGACUCGUCGUUGCAAGCACUCUCUGUUGGCCAUCAAUGUUUGACAGUUUAUUUCGUCUUUACCGGCGAAACCACCGAUGUAACCUCCUUAUUCAGUUGGGAUAUUGUAGAAUAGCUCUAGAUCAAAUCCUUUGGCUCUGUAAGAGUACGAUAAAGAAUCAUCGUAUGUCUUCUUUCCCCAAAAUCUACCACAACGCUUUGACGAACCCUUUGAUGGUGUUUCCUCUUCAAUUGAUACUUGAUACACUACCAUUAAUCUUGAUCUUCGUGCUCACUUUUGCUUCAACUUUGAUAGGUGUAUAUUCAAUCUUGCAUACUCAAGCUCCUCCCAAUCUUCAGUAGCUUUAUCAAUCGUUAUUAGGGUACCUAUAGUGGCAAACCAUUCCCGCCCUCCAAAGAUGUAUUGGUAUUCCCUAUAGUAUUUUCCUUGGUCCAAGAUGUGAUAGAUUCAAACAUUGUUGACAACUAGUCCUUACUCGCUUCCCCUUCACCCAUGAGAAGCAUCCGAUUAUCUCCCAUAUAUAUUAUAAUUGAAUGAAACUGAAUCCAUUGAGUGUAAAGCUUUCUCAAAUAGCCUUAAUGGUACAUGUGUCAUAGAUCUUCCCAAUAUAGCUACGUUGAAUCAAAUCGUUGCCAUCUUCCUUCACCUGGAACUCCAUACCUUUUCAACCAAUGUUAUAAGCGUUUUCCUUUGCUCCCUUCACAACUUAAGCAUAACUUGGCAUGUUAUCCUUCCUCUUGUACACUUUGUUGUGUGUCAAAGGUUUAAGGAUCUUAUACCAUCCAUUUUCUCUGUUCGUCCUUCCUACUGCCAUUGAUGCAUUUUCACCUUUUCGGUACUUUGGGUUUACGUGGAUUUUUAUGUUUCCAAUCUAGAUAUUAUCCAAUUGUUUCUCGAGCUUCGGAUUAGGGAUCCUGUAAUACUUCACAAGAUUCAGUCUUCUUGAGAAGAAAAUAUCAUGUAUUUUCCCCAUCUUUGAAAAAAUCGCCACAUUUUGUAUACACCAUAUAUAGUUGGAUGGAAAGUGAGAGAAGAAAGAUGUAGUUAGCUCCCUCAUGAUUUGUUUUGAAAGAGAAACUUAUAUAUGCUUGUUUGAACAAGUAUGAUGAUAUGAUAGUGAAAAGCUUGUGACACAAACUACAUAUAUCUCUCUCAAAAACCUUUGUAGUAGGGGUUGUUCUUCUCCUUAUGUUUAUUUUAGUUAAUAUCCUUACACGUUUUUAUUUGGGGGCUGGGAAGUGAAAGUUAAAUUUAAAUAUAAUUUUCCUUCUUUAUUUGUUAUCGCGAAUGAACAUGGUUAAUGUUGAUAUUACUUUGCUAACAGGUGGAAAAUAAAGGCUGAUGAUCCCCCACUUGCUUUACCGUAUGUGGAAUUCACGGGAGGGUUGCUAUUGGAUCUUGAACCCAUAAGCUGAACUUCUCGGAAACACCUUUGAUAGUUUGGUUUUUAUAUGCUGAAAAUCAAUAAAACAAUAAUAUGUAAAAGUAAUUCUCUAUUUACAAAAACGGGAAAAAAAACUUUUAAAUUCGGAAUUUUAUUACAUUAUCUUUUCCAUUUGGUC
RNAcentral lists this long non-coding RNA (9633 nucleotides) under Phaseolus vulgaris (common bean). RNAcentral's name for it is "long non-coding RNA (PVUL_LNC001662)". Lineage: Eukaryota; Viridiplantae; Streptophyta; Magnoliopsida; Fabales; Fabaceae. The record is from RNAcentral.